Molecule: unclassified non-coding RNA, 839 nt
Filed under: Hevea brasiliensis (rubber tree)
Lineage: Eukaryota; Viridiplantae; Streptophyta; Magnoliopsida; Malpighiales; Euphorbiaceae
Source: RNAcentral
UCACCUUACCAAUACCUAUUAAUGCCCGAUCUAUUCUAUUUAGUUAUCCAAGGUUUGGUUUCAUUUUGUCUUAUGACGUCUUGCCUAAUGACCUAUUGAAUUUUCCUAGUGAUUCGGCUUCACCAUUUCCCUGUCUUAAUAUUUAGACCUCUUAUCAUUAUAAAAGGACUUUUAAGUUGCCAUUACCUACAUUUUGUUUAGUUACUACUACGCUAUUCGGGACCAGAACUCCUGUGCUAAGAAGUAAUGAGGAUUAAUCAAAGAAUAGACUGAUUAACAAAGAAGUAAACUCGAGAAUGAUCGUCUCCGUGUUUAAAACAUAGUAUAAACUUGGUGAAAAUUACAAACAGAAAAAGAAUAAAUGAAAUACGUGAAUAAAGAAGAACAUUUGAUAAAAUAACGAUAUAGCACUCACCUGUAGGGAGUCGAAUAUACUAAACUAACUAUGGAAUCACAGAAUGUAACAGGACUGCAGGUUGAUAGCUGGAGGACUAAGGUUCGCCUCGGAAUGAAGGAUUCUUUGUUAAAAUGUAAACAGGUCAAAAUAACCAAGCUUGAAUGGAGUUGAGCUUAGACAAUAUGAAUGGAAAUAGAAGAUAACAAAGACAGAAAGUGAGAGUGUCACAGGAUAAUGAACGGACUGAAAAUUGAGAAUUUCAGUAUUCAAGAAUCCCUUUGCAAGAAAACACUUCAGAAAACUGGUUUCCAAAGUUUUUCUUAUGAGAGCUAAAAUAGCAGAGUAACGAACUGAAUUAAGUUUCAGAGUUCUUCCACUAUGGUCACUGCUUUUUUUCUAUUUUUUUCCGUCGUCCCUCGAACAGUUUUCAUGCAGGUAUUUA